GUGCCUAACACAUGCAAGUCGAGCGAGAAAGGGGGGGCAACUCCCUGAGUAAAGCGGCGCACGGGUGAGUAACACGUGGGUAAUCUGCCCUGGAGUGGGGAAAAACAUCGGGAAACCGGUGCUAAUACCGCAUACGAUCACGAUGUCUGCGGAUGUUGUGAUGAAAGGAGCAAUUCGCUCCAGGAGGAGCCCGCGGCUGAUUAGCUAGUUGGUGAGGUAACGGCUCACCAAGGCUACGAUCAGUAUCCGGUCUGAGAGGACGGUCGGACACACUGGAACUGAGACACGGUCCAG
Molecule: ribosomal RNA, 294 nt
Filed under: uncultured bacterium
Lineage: Bacteria
Description: partial 16S ribosomal RNA
Rfam family: Bacterial small subunit ribosomal RNA
Source: RNAcentral